UUUUUUGUGUACGAUUAGAUCUUUUUUCUGCUAAAGAGAUUGUAUUUUGGAUGAACUUGAAAAAAUGAUAAAUGUUUAUACAGUUCAUUAAAUCAAAACUUUUUAAACUAAGGGUUCAUAAAUUGAGGAAUACUUGUAAUAUAAUAUUCCAUAGUAUUCUGUUCUGAUCAACUGUUAUAUAGUCCAUAUUAUAUCUCUCUGAAAUGCAGCCAGGUAUCAGAAUAAAAUCUAUGUUCAACUCAAAAGCAUUGCUAGUCCUUAUCAGAAUUGGUUGGGCAUACUUAUCUGUGAAUUAUGUAUAAUGGGUUGAGAAUAGAGUUGAAACUCAAGUCAGGUCAAUCUGAGAAGCAUAAAUUUUCUCAUAAUAUAACAGAUGUCAUAAGCUUGAUCUGUUUUGUGUAUAAACUUGAGUUUUAUGUAAUAAUUACAUUGAACAUUAUUAAAUAUUGUACUUCAAUUAAUCAAGUUUUAUUACAUGGUUCAAUGAGUAAGGUAACAAGACCUCUCAUUGUGUAAAUUUUUUCAACUUGUACAUAUACACCCU
Molecule: long non-coding RNA, 544 nt
Filed under: Androctonus crassicauda
Lineage: Eukaryota; Metazoa; Arthropoda; Arachnida; Scorpiones; Buthidae
Source: RNAcentral